This 510-nucleotide ribosomal RNA is filed under the name Alburnus alburnus (bleak). Its description in RNAcentral is "partial 16S ribosomal RNA". It matches the Rfam family "Bacterial large subunit ribosomal RNA", at positions 1856 to 2565 of the family's 2925-position model. The record is from RNAcentral. Lineage: Eukaryota; Metazoa; Chordata; Actinopteri; Cypriniformes; Leuciscidae.
AGCCUGCCCAGUGACUACGGGUUCAACGGCCGCGGUAUUUUGACCGUGCAAAGGUAGCGCAAUCACUUGUCUCUUAAAUAGAGACCUGUAUGAAUGGCUAGACGAGGGCUUAACUGUCUCCCCCCUCCAGUCAGUGAAAUUGAUCUAUCCGUGCAGAAGCGGGUAUAAUUAUACAAGACGAGAAGACCCUUUGGAGCUUAAGGUACAAAAUUCAACCACGUUAAACGACUCUGUAGGAAGCAAGAACUUAGUGGCAGAUGAAAUUUUACCUUCGGUUGGGGCGACCACGGAGGAGAAAGAAGCCUCCGAGUGGACUGGGCUAAACCCCAAAGCUAAGAGAGACAUCUCUAAGCCGCAGAACAUCUGACCAAGAAUGAUCCGACUGAAAGGCCGAUCAACGAACCAAGUUACCCUAGGGAUAACAGCGCAAUCCUCUCCCAGAGUCCAUAUCGACGAGGGGGUUUACGACCUCGAUGUUGGAUCAGGACAUCCUAAUGGUGCAGCCGCUAU